Molecule: ribosomal RNA, 429 nt
Filed under: Gemmatimonadota bacterium
Lineage: Bacteria; Pseudomonadati; Gemmatimonadota
Description: Gemmatimonadetes bacterium partial 16S ribosomal RNA
Rfam family: Bacterial small subunit ribosomal RNA
Source: RNAcentral
UAGGGAAUCAUCGGCAAUGGACGAAAGUCUGACCGAGCAACGCCGCGUGAGUGAAGAAGGUGUUCGGAUCGUAAAACUCUGUUGUUAGAGAAGCACAAGGACGUUAGUAACUGAACGUCCCCUGACGGUAUCUAACCAGAAAGCCACGGCUAACUACGUGCCAGCAGCCGCGGUAAUACGUAGGUGGCAAGCGUUGUCCGGUUUUAUUGGGCGUAAAGCGAGCGCAGGCGGUUUCUUAAGUCUGAUGUGAAAGCCCCCGGCUCAACCGGGGAUGGUCAUUGGAAACUGGGAGACUUGAGUGCAGAAGUGGAGAGUGGAAUUCCAUGUGUAGCGGUGAAAUGCGUAGAUAUAUGGAGGAACACCAGUGGCGAAGGCGGCUCUCUGGUCUGUAACUGACGCUGAGGCUCGAAAGCGUGGGGAGCAAACAGU